This is a non-coding RNA of Macaca mulatta (Rhesus monkey), 649 nucleotides long. The record is from RefSeq and is a predicted model, not a curated record. Lineage: Eukaryota; Metazoa; Chordata; Mammalia; Primates; Cercopithecidae.
CCAUUUCAACGGCUUUCCCUCCCCAUGUGCUACAUACUAAAUCAGUGCUACAGUUUACUUCCGCUUGGAGAAAAUGAAGAUAGCAGAGAAGGAAAGGAAAGUAAAAGUCAUGUAAAAGUGGGUCUGGAGUAAACAACAGAAGAACUGAGCUAUUUCUGAAAGAACAUGACCACCUUAAAAAGUAGGUAUUAUUGAAUGUAUGUGCAUGAUGUGGUUUUCCAUGUUUAUUAAUUCGUUUACUUAUGUAACUGAUAUUUUAUGAUGUUUAUUAUAGUAAGUGCUUUAUCCAUGCUAAUUCAUUCUAUUCUCCUAAUGACUCUUUUCCAUAGAAAAGGAAUUGCAACUGUUCCCACCAUAAUGAGAAAAGAUCCUGUGCUAAUCAGUUAAUUGUUACCUUAACAUGUUUUUUAUUGCCUUAAUGUGUUCUUUUCCUCAGCAGGUCUUGCUCUAAAGCUUUUGUCCAAUACCACAGGUUAUUAGUAAAAAAAUCAUGCUGAUAAUGACUUAUAUUUGAAUGGCCUGUUACCACUUAUAUAUGAAGAAGCCAUAUAAAGAGACAUUAGGUCAUAUAUCAAAUUCUAAAAAGGUUUUAUUUUUCAAGAUUUCAGAAGAAAGUACUUAAAUACUUGGAUGAAGUAGAUAUAGUUUU